This 252-nucleotide ribosomal RNA is filed under the name uncultured prokaryote. RNAcentral describes it as "partial 16S ribosomal RNA". The stretch from base 43 to 252 matches the Rfam family "Bacterial small subunit ribosomal RNA", at positions 567 to 775 of the family's 1533-position model. The record is from RNAcentral.
CCCUCUUUUUCCCUCUUUUUUCUUCCUUCUUUUUCUUCCCUCUCCCUUCUUCUUCCCUACCAGUCAGCUGUGAAAUCCUUCUGCUCAACGGAAGAACGGCAGUUGAUACUAUAGGGCUGGAGUGCGGGAGGGGAGAGUGGAACUUCUGGUGGAGCGGUGAAAUGCGUAGAUAUCAGAAGGAACGUCGGCGGCGAAAGCGACUCUCUAGACCGUAACUGACGCUGAGUGUGCGAAAGCUAGGGGAGCAAACGG